CACCGCGGUUAUACGAGAGACCCUAGUUGACUGCAUAAUCGGCGUAAAGGGUGGUUAAGGAUAUACAUUAAUAAGGCCAAAUGGCCCUUUGGCCGUUAUACGCUUCUAGGUGUCCGAAGCCCCAUUUAUACGAAAGUAGCCUUAAUAAACAAACCCGACCCCACGAAAACUGAGAAA
RNAcentral lists this ribosomal RNA (177 nucleotides) under Osteochilus sp. OCNFW29. RNAcentral's name for it is "partial small subunit ribosomal RNA". The record is from RNAcentral. Lineage: Eukaryota; Metazoa; Chordata; Actinopteri; Cypriniformes; Cyprinidae.